Molecule: long non-coding RNA, 425 nt
Organism: Prunus dulcis (almond)
Lineage: Eukaryota; Viridiplantae; Streptophyta; Magnoliopsida; Rosales; Rosaceae
Exons: 2
Source: RefSeq, a predicted model, not a curated record
UUAACACAACAGAUGAAGAACAACCCUGGACAAGAGCCGAGUUGCAGAUUGAUGAGAUGAUGAUGAUGAUGAUGACGAUGAAUUGGAGUUUAUGUAAAGGAAGCAUGUCCUUUUGAGGGGAAUGUUGUCUGGCACGAGGCCACCAAUCUUGGUUCCUUCCAAAUUUCAAUCCAUACCGAUCUUUGAUCAGAAUUUACGUUCUACGUACAGACGCUCAGGGACUGUGUAUGUUAGUGUCCUCGGACCAGGCUUCAUUCCCCUCAAUUCACUGCUUCCAUCUAAUUUGCCAACACAGCAGUGUUCUUGAUUAUUUUCGCCAAUAUUGGUAUUCCGAUCUACUGCGUGUGGCGGAUCCAUCGAUCUCCAGGUGUGCAAUGUGCAAUGUGCAAUGUGCGAGACAAAGGAAAGAACAAAAAAAAAAAAAA